GAAUAUUGGACAAUGGGGGCAACCCUGAUCCAGCAAUGCCGCGUGUGUGAAGAAGGCCUGCGGGUUGUAAAGCACUUUUAUUAGGGAAGAAAAGCUUGGGGCUAAUAUCCUCGAGUCUUGACGGUACCUAAAGAAUACGCACCGGCUACCUCUGUGCCAGCAGCCGCGGUAAUACAGAGGGUGCAAGCGUUAAUCGGAAUUACUGGGCGUAAAGCGCACGUAGGCGGUUCGAUAAGUCGGGUGUGAAAUCCCCGGGCUCAACCUGGGAAUUGCAUUCGAAACUGUCGAGCUAGAGUCUAGGAGAGGGAAGCGGAAUUCCGGGUGUAGCGGUGAAAUGCGUAGAUAUCCGGAGGAACAUCAGUGGCGAAGGCGGCUUCCUGGCCUAAGACUGACGCUGAGGUGCGAAAGCGUGGGGAGCAAACAGG
RNAcentral lists this ribosomal RNA (425 nucleotides) under uncultured bacterium. RNAcentral's name for it is "bacterial SSU rRNA". It matches the Rfam family "Bacterial small subunit ribosomal RNA", at positions 359 to 776 of the family's 1533-position model. The record is from RNAcentral.